AUUGAACGCUGGCGGAAUGCUUUACACAUGCAAGUCGAACGGCAGCACGGGGCAACCUGGUGGCGAGUGGCGAACGGGUGAGUAAUACAUCGGAACGUGCCCAGUCGUGGGGGAUAACGUAGCGAAAGUUACGCUAAUACCGCAUACGAUCUAUGGAUGAAAGCGGGGGAUCGCAAGACCUCGCGCGAUUGGAGCGGCCGAUGUCAGAUUAGGUAGUUGGUGGGGUAAAGGCCUACCAAGCCGACGAUCUGUAGCUGGUCUGAGAGGACGACCAGCCACACUGGGACUGAGACACGGCCCAGACUCCUACGGGAGGCAGCAGGGGGGAAUUUUGGACAAUGGGCGCAAGCCUGAUCCAGCCAUUCCGCGUGCAGGAUGAAGGCCUUCGGGUUGUAAACUGCUUUGUUACGGAACGAAAAGGACUCUGGUUAAUACCCGGGCGUCAUGACGGUACCGUAAGAAUAAGCACCGGCGUAACUACGUGCCAGCAGCCGCGGUAAU
Molecule: ribosomal RNA, 501 nt
Filed under: uncultured bacterium
Lineage: Bacteria
Description: bacterial SSU rRNA
Rfam family: Bacterial small subunit ribosomal RNA
Source: RNAcentral